Oncorhynchus masou masou (cherry salmon) is the source of this 2088-nucleotide long non-coding RNA. RefSeq lists it as uncharacterized. Lineage: Eukaryota; Metazoa; Chordata; Actinopteri; Salmoniformes; Salmonidae. The record is from RefSeq and is a predicted model, not a curated record. The transcript is spliced from 6 exons.
AUCUUUGAGGUCUAGAAGUUCCAAAUUGUUAUACGUUUUUGUUCCUUCCUCUUAUUCAUAACAAACAUUAAUAAAGCUUCAUAAACUAACCAACGAAGCCUUAUAAUCUCUCUCAGCUUCUCUAUUGUUAGAAAAGUUCACACCUUUUAUUUGAAUGGUAUGAAGACAACAAGUCCUUAUUAAAUCUGUUAUUAAAUGUCCAGCUAUAGCAGUCAUCAGAGUUGUCCCUAAAUGAUGUGGGAGAGGGACGGCCAGACAAGGACAGACAGUGAGGUCUCUGGACAAAGAGUUACCGAAGUAACGGUCAAUAUGGAAAUAUACCGUCUUUGCGUAAAAUAGCUGGAAAAAUAAAAAAUAAAAUAAUAAUUGAGUGAUAUGUUGUGAGUGUUAAUCUAAUGAAUAUACUGUACCUAUGAUGUUGCUUUCUUUGUUGUUGUUUAGUAUUAUUUCGAGGGCGGGACUGAAACUGGAAUGAACAAGGCGCGGCCAAGAAUCCCCUUCACACGUGCAGACAAAGAGCGCCAACAACACAACCCAAAUAUGCACUUUUAAACUUUUCCAAAGGAAACGGACGACUUCCACGAACAUAGGAAAUGCAACGGUGGGUUGAAACCUGUUUCAUUUGAAAAGCUUUUCUUUCUCGGGAGGCCCGAAUUGGGAAAAAGUACCUUGGAGCCGUACCUUUACAACCGGAGUUUAGCAGCAGGUCCUUUGAAUAACCAUCUACACUGUGGCGGAUUUACCCGCGACCUGUACCGGACUCAUCGAAUCGGAAUUGGAUUAUAUCUUCCGGCGCACAUCACAACAAAGGCUUUCCAAAUUGGAUAGGCGUCUCAUCGGACCCUCAAGGACAACAUGGACACCAACCCUACGUCAGCAGAAGGUCAAGCCCUGUCCGAAGUUAGAGGUCAGGGGUUAAAGGUCAUGUCCUGUUGACCCUGCGUGUGAGAUAAGCGGGCGAGGCUGGGAGCAGUGAACCCCUGGUGGACGGACCUGGCUGUGGACCACGGUUGUUAUUGGCAGUUUGUCAGGCUGAGCAGAGCUGGACAGCAGGAGUGCAACCAGGGGUCUCUGGAGCCGAGGACGGUAUUAAAACAGCCUGGUAAUAAAGGCAAUGGAUUUCUCCACAUCUUCCUCAUCUUCCUCGUCUUCCUCAUUCUUCACUACAUGGAUCUGUGUUGAAGGUUUGACAGUGAAGUGGGAACAGAGUAUGUAUAGAUGUUGGAGGCCAUGGCAAGAUGACGCAGAGACGGGAAUUCAGAAGGAGAUGUGAUUGGUCGGCUUGUUUCACUAUCCAAUUGCGAUCUUGUCUCAUCGCUUCAUCUCCCCAACGGGCUCGGGAGAGGCGAAGGUCGAGUCAUGCGUCCUCUCCGAAAAAUGAUCUGCCGAACCGCGCCUCAUAACCCCGGAAGCCAGGUGCACCAAUGUGUCAGAGGAAAAACCGAAGUCAGCUUGGAGGCACCCGGCCAGGAGUUGCUGGACUCUGAGGCCUCAGGAACAAUUCUUCUUGAUAUAUGUUUUUACUGAACUUAAAAAAAUAUUUUGUAUAAUUCUGUCAAAUGAAUCAGACUUAAAAAGGUUUUUUAAUACCAUGAAGAAGUCCUAUUAAAGCCCAGUGAGUCCCACCAGGACACCGGUGUGUUUUGGACUUCUAACCCCUGUUAAACAUUGUAUGAAACAAAUGUGUGUAUAUACUUACAGCAUUCAUAUACAGUGGGGCAAAAAAGUAUUUAGUCAGCCACCAAUUGUGCAAGUUCUCCCACUUCAAAAGAUGAGAGAGGCCUGUAAUUUUCAUCAUAGGUCCACUUCAACUAUGAUAGACAAAAGGAGAAAAAAAAUCAGGAAAAUUACAUUUUAGGAUUUUUAAUGAAUUUAUUUGCAAAUUAUGGUGGAAAAUAAGUAUUUGGUCACCUACGAACAAGCAAGAUUUCUGGCUCUCACAGACCUGUAAAUUCUUCUUUAAGAGGCUCCUCUGUCCUCCACUCGUUACAUGUAUUAAUGACAAAUACUUAUUUUCCACCAUAAUUUGCAAAUAAAUUCAUUAAAAAUCCUACAAUGUGAAAAAAAGUAUUCUGGAAUUUUUUACAA